This is an RNA transcript of Canis lupus familiaris (dog), 4079 nucleotides long. It is a transcript of the gene named calmodulin-1-like, with no coding region annotated. The record is from RefSeq and is a predicted model, not a curated record. Lineage: Eukaryota; Metazoa; Chordata; Mammalia; Carnivora; Canidae. The transcript is spliced from 5 exons.
AUGUAGGCUGAUCAGCUGACCGAAGAACAGAUUGCUGAGUUCAAGGAAGCUUUCUCCCUAUUUGACAAAGAUGGCGAUGGCACCAUCACAACAAAGGAACUUGGAACUGUCAUGAGGUCACUGGGUCAGAACCCAACAGAAGCCGAAUUGCAGGAUAUGAUCAACGAGGUGGAAUGCUGACGCUUUUGUCUUUUAAUUUGAGGUAAUGGCACCAUUGACUUCCCGGAAUUUUUGACUAUGAUGGCUAGAAAAAUGAAAGAUACAGACAGUGAAGAAGAAAUUCGCGAGGCAUUCCGAGUCUUUGACAAGGAUGGCAACGGUUACAUCAGUGCGGCAGAACUACGUCAUGUCAUGACAAACUUAGGAGAAAAACUAACAGACGAAGAAGUAGAUGAAAUGAUCAGAGAAGCAGAUAUUGAUGGAGAUGGGCAAGUCAACUAUGAAGAAUUCGUACAGAUGAUGACUGCAAAAUGAAGGCCUACUUUCAACUCCUUUCCCCCCUUCUAGAAGAAUCAAAUUGAAUCUUUUACUUACCUCUUGCAAAAAAAAAGUUCAUUUACUCAUUCUGUUUCUAUAUAGCAAAACUGAAUGUCAAAAGUACCUUCUGUCCACACACACAAAAUCUGCAUGUAUUGGGUGGUGGUCCUGUCCCCUAAAGAUCAAGCUACACAUCAGUUUUACGAUAUAAAUACUUGUACUACCUUAAUGAUAAGGAAGCACUUAGUGGACUCCUUGCAGUUCCAUUUGCUCAUGAUUAAUACACUGUUUGGGCUGGCCAGUUUUUCAUGCAUGCAGCUUGACAAUUGAGCACAGUCAGGCAUUUGUAUUAAAAACGAAAAAUGAAAAAACAAAUCUAAAACGUACUCAACUGGGUUCUAGUUCAAUUUGUUAGUAGAAAUUGUCAUAGCUGGUUUACUGAAAACAUUUAAAAUUGGUUUACCUCAGGAUGCUGUGCAGAAAAAUGGGUGAAGGAUAAACUGUCUAGAUGUAGCCCCACUUAGGACGGCCCUCCCAUACUUCCAUGUGCCCCUUCCCCCCACCCAUGGUGACGAUGACACACAUCCUGGUGGCAUGCGUGUGUUGGUUUAGCGUUGUCUGCGUUGUACUAGAGCGAAAAUGGGUGUCAGGCUUGUCACCAUUCACACAGAAAUUUAAAAAAAAAAAAAAAAAAAAGGAAAAAAACCUUUACCAAGGGAGCAUCUUUGGACUCUCUGUUUUUAAAACCUCCUGAACCAUGACUUGGAGCCAGCAGAUUAGGCUGUGGCUGUGGACUUCAGCACAACCAUCAACAUUGCUGAUCAAGAAAUUACAAUAUACGUCCAUUCCAAGUUGUAAAUGCUAGUUUUUUUUUUUUUUUUUUCCAAUAAAAAGACCAUUAACUUAAAGUGGUGUUAAAUGCUUUGUAAAGCUGAGAUCUAAAUGGGGACAAGGCAAUGGAGGAGAGGUCAGGACCUUUUAAAUGCCCACCGCCCAGCACUGGGCUUCUCACACUCCCACCCUCCUCUCCCUGAUACCCCAGCACCAACCUCUGAGCCUGAGACCUUGCCUAAAACCAGAGAUGGCAGUUUGCUUCAUCCUAUCAAUGGACAUGUAGGUCUACUUGUAUUUUCACUGGGGGAGGGGGGGCGGGGGGUGGGGAGUGAACCCUGGUAACUUCAUGACUAUUCAGGCAGUGGCGCUCUUAAUGAAGGAAAAAAAACCACUUUUUCUCAAGCAUGUACUUAGGGGUUCUUCUCAAUCGUGCUGCUGAUUACCUGUUUUAUGUAACUACUUGAGACCAUCUGUGCAAGAGACAUGAUUUAGUGUGUCUGUCUGUAAUUCAAUCCUCGCUGUGUGCUAGAAGCAGUAGUCCCUUCUAAGCCAGUCUUGAUGCCUAAAGACACUACCGGUCAUCUUUGAUUCAUGAUUUUUAAUUUAUGAUUUUACUUUUCUUCAGCCUCCUUUUCAAUUUUUUUUUCCCCUAAAGUUGACUUUGCUUCCCCGCCUCCCCCCCCCCCCAAGUAGAACUAACUCUAGCCCCCCCAGCUUGAAAGUCAAACUCCAGCCUAGAGGGGGUUUUGUGUCUCAUAAACCUGUAACCAAAACAGAUACUGGUACUGGUUUUUGCAGUGGGAUUGGUGUGCUUUUUUUUUUUUUUUUUUUUAAAAACCCUUUAAAAAGGAAUAUUGCAUUUAGUGCAGAACUCUUUCUGUAAUGAAGGCUGGAUGUGCAUUUUUCAGGGUGUUAACUGGUUGUAUCUCACCAGUGAGGAGAGUUGGGUUUUGAGUGUUUUCUGUGGGAGGUUUUAAUUUGCCAGGGAACAGCGGCAGGCUGCUAGCGAGGCAGCGACAAGCUCUUGGCAGCCAAAUGGGUGCAUUCAGGGCUGAUUUAUAGAGACCCUUGGCUUCUCCCUCUCCUACUCCCUGUCUUUCUGGCAUUUUGCAGCUUGUUAGAUUUCCUGCCAGAGGGAUGGGUCAGAGCAGUGGAGAGGAGCCCGCCCAUCUACUUUUGCUGUUGGUCCUUAGACUGGGUGGUUAUUGAAGAGGAGACCCAGAGCUAGAGGUGACUUCCAUAACUCCCCGAAUCUGGAAGGAACACCUGAGAACACCUCGGAGGUUGUUCAGGUGAGACAGGGAGGACUUAGGGCUCCUGGAUGUUUCUUACAGGGAGCCCAAGUCCUGACUCAUCUCAGGCCUACGUCCUGAUGGCUUCUUGGUCAUUUCAAAGAGGGUUGGGGGUAAUUGAACUUGUUUUUAACACUUUGCCUUCUGUCUUAACUCUUUCGUCAAGUCUUUUUCUAGAAGCUAGGUGGGCUCCAUUUUAGUGGUCCCACAACCCUUCCUAAAAGACUGCUUUUGAAACCAGAUUCUUCCGUGGCCAGCAUCCUGUAUGGGAAGCAAAGCCUUUCCCCCAGGGAGUGUCGAGUCCCAGCUUGGUGCAGAGGGGCAGCCCCAUCCUCUGCAGCCUUUUCCCUCUGGCUUCAGGGAAGACCAGCCCAGGUGGGGUGUUUGCAGACUGCAUGAGUUUGUGAGAGGACAGAGCUGGGUGUUGGGUCCAUACCCUUAAAAGUUGGUUAGCACCUCCCUGUAAACUCUUGCCCCUUACUUCUAACUGCUCUAUAAAUAUAUACAUAUAUUUAUAUAUAUAAAGUGACUAGUUUAACUGGCAUCCCGCUUGAGCCUGAGACUUGCCAUAAGAAACUGCUGAGUACUUGGCAAACACUUUCAUAGUUUUGUUCUCCAUCUGUUGGGGGUAGGUGUUGAGCAAGGCAAAUGCAUCUCAACGUUUCAGAUGGGCUUUUGACGCACUGUUGCCAAGGAAGGCUUUUUCUGAUUUUUAGACAAAUGAAUUUUUGCACACUUUAAUUGGUGUCUUUCGGCAACUUAAACACAUGGAAAAUUAGCUACUGUACAUAUUUUUAUAUUCUCUUUAUAAAAUGCAUGUCUGACUGUACCUGUAACCUGUGUUGUGACGAGAGCAGCCGUCCAGUAGGCCUCCCACGUGCUGCUGCGGCCCGUCAAGAGCAGCAGCAUAUGAUUAGCCCCUCAGCAUACUGGGAACUUCCUCCUAAACCAAGAAUGUAAAUUUGGUCAAAAGUCUGCUCUUUGUUCAUUCAAUUAUUUUAAACAUUUGAAUUAAUUAUUGUAUAUCCGAAACACAUGAUCCUUUUUGGCAGUGACGAAGAUUCCACGAAUGUGUCUUACUAACCUAUCCCCUACAGCUGGCAGUUAGUAUUUUCCUUUCUUUUUCCCAAUCCCUUGAAGUUGUCCUAUAGGAGACAGAAACCCUUUGCUGUCUGUAUCCCUUGGAGUAAGAAGGUAGCGGCCUGGGUGGAGUGUGUGUUCUUUCUCCAGCUCUCCUAACGUUCCUGAGCACGUCUGUAGCAAGGAUGGCGCUAGUUCCGAUGCAGAAGCUACCCUUUACCGUGGUGAUUCGAAAAAGGAGAUGUACUUGAACGUUUCUGUAAAUCUUGAGAUAAACUGUUUGGAGAUUUAACCACCUCUCUGAUGGGGGACCAACUCUAUGGAAAUUGUAAAUAAGUUUUAUUUAUAAACCUGGCACUGUAUCCAAUAAACAUUUCUGCAGCCUUUCAUCUCUAA